CCGGGGACCAAGGGACAUGUUGAACAUCACCAAGGGAAUGUAACCAGCAAAAUCUAGAAGGAAGAACCAAAGGUCCCUGAGGAAAUAACUUAGCCAAAUUAAACUGCUGGGGCAUGCUGCAGUGCUGUUGAGUUUACGUGUCUUUUGAGAAGGAAGCACCAAAGAAAUGACGCAACCUGCAUUCACUGAGCCAUAGGGGCAGACUGUGAUCAGCACCAGAGAGAGGUAGGAACAAAGAUGUCUCGAAAAUCUUAAAAGGACACAUAGACCUAGUUGUUCCAUUACCCAUAGGUUUUUAAAAUUAUAAGGUACAUUCGAAAUCCUUUAGUCCAAACCUUGCCAAGGACCUUUCUGCAUAUUAACAGCAGAGCUAGAAUCUCUGUCUAUUAUUAUUUCUCCACUUCAAAUUUUUAAACUUCUUGCUCCAGUCCUCAAUUUCCAGACAUCUGGCCACUCACAUCUAUUCUCCAUAGCUCUAUCCUGACUUCUAUCCCAAAUAAGAGCAGAGUCUCCUCCUAGACAUCUCCAAUGAUUUCCUAAUUUUUAAAUAUAUUAUCUUCUUUUCAACGUCUUUUUUUGGUAAAUUCUUUUAGCAAUUGUGAUAGUUAAUUUUAUGUGUCAACUUGACUGGAUCACAGGUUGCUGAGAUAGCUGAUUAAAUAUUAUACGGGUGUGUCUGUGAGGGUGUUUCCAAAAGAAAUUAGCAUUUGAAGCAGUAGAUUAAGAAAAGCAUAUGGCCCUCCCAAAUGUGGGUGGGCAUUAUCCAACCCACUGAGGGCCUGAAUAGAACAAAAAGAUGGAGGAAGGGGGGACUUGUUGGCUCUCUGCCUGACUGCUUAGGGAAAAUACCAAUCUUCUCCUACAUUCUGUACUCUUGGUUCUUAGGCUAUCAGACUAGGACUGGAAUGUACACCAUCAGCUCUCCUCUCUCACUCUUAGCCCUUAGAACUACAUCACCUUCCUGGGUCUCCAGUCUGUAGAUGGCAUAUCAUGGGACUUCUCAGCCUCCAUAAUUGCAAGAGCCAAAGUAUACCAAUACCUUUGCACUGCAUGGGUGGCAACUGUGAGGAAAGCCAGGUAGAUUACCUCUUUACAAAAGAAAGGUAGUGGGUAUUUUAGGUGAGUGACUUUUUGUGUGUAUGUGUGAGGAAGAUCACCCUGAGCUAACAUCUGUGCCAAUCUUCCUCUACUUUGUAUGUGGG
This is a long non-coding RNA of Equus caballus (horse), 1202 nucleotides long. RefSeq lists it as uncharacterized. The record is from RefSeq and is a predicted model, not a curated record. NCBI's taxonomy places the organism in Eukaryota, Metazoa, Chordata, Mammalia, Perissodactyla, Equidae.